Macaca nemestrina (pig-tailed macaque) is the source of this 1595-nucleotide long non-coding RNA. The record is from Ensembl. NCBI's taxonomy places the organism in Eukaryota, Metazoa, Chordata, Mammalia, Primates, Cercopithecidae.
GGGAGGCCGGGGGACGUGGGAGCGGCGCACCAGGAGCAAGGCGUCCCUGGUGACAGCGCGUCCCGAGGGCUCUCCCUUUUCCCAGAGCGCAUUCCAAAGGCCGACUCCUUUGCAGGCUCCACGAGCCCCAUUCGCGGUGGAGAGGGGCGUUCCAGGCUGCAGGACCCUUAGAGAUGAGAGUAUGAAAGAGAAAAUACAUACUCUGGAAUCCAUUGGUCCUACCCCACUUAUUCAGAAUAAUUCAAUUAAAAACGACACACAUCAUAUAGGAAUGUCAACAGUGAAGGAAUUGUUAGGAGUUCUAGAAGAGGGAUGGAAUGCAAACAACAGCUCCCUUCCUCUCCAGGAAGCAGAGACCUGAAGCCCACGAUUGUGGUUUUUGAAGACUGAGCUCUCUCUGCUCUUGAGUAAGGAGGUCCAAGAUUUCUCCUUGAUAAAAAUGUGGACUGCAAUGCUAGUUAAAAGAAGCAAUUGGGGCUUUUGGUAUAGAGAAAUAUUUGGAAGCUGAAGAGACUGAGGUGGACUGGAAAAGCUUCGGAGAUGCCAAACAUCACAACUUAGAGACAGGAAAGUGGUCUGAAAAUAUAGCAGCUGCCUGGAGGUGCCAGGUGAGUGGGCUUGGAGAAGAGCCACGAUGAGGGCCACUGUUGGAGCCAUACUGAACAAACUCUUCACAGCCCUCACCAGAGGACUUUGCAGUUAAGUGGCAAUUCUGCCUCAUGUAGACAAAUAAUCAUGGGAGGUGAUUUGCAGCCUGUGAUCAAGUUCUUUUUUAUCCAAGCAAAAAUAAAUGAUUCCUGAAAAUUAUCAAAAUAAUCAAACACAAGCAGAGUCUGAGAAACUGUCACAGCCAAGAGGAAUCUUAAGGUGACAUGAUGGCUAAAGGCAAUGUGGUACUCUAAAUGGGAUCCUGGAAAAGAAAAAGAACAUUGGGGGAAAACUACAGACAUCUGAAUAAAGUAGAGACUUUAGUUAAUAAUAAUGUAUCAGUAUUGGUUUGUUAAUUAUAAUUAUAUAGACCAUACUAAGAUAAGAUGUUAAUAAUAUGAGAAAUUGGGUGUGAAGUAUAUCCAAUGUAUCUAUCUUUCCAAUGUCUUUGUAAAUCUAAAAUAGUUCUAAAAUUAAAGUUUAUUUAAAAAGAAAGAGAAAGAGAAAAACACAGACUAACCUGGGAGGAUGUGUCCUCCAAAACCCUCAGGACCCUGGAAGCACCCAGGAGACCUGAACUCAUGAAUUCCUUGAGUAUAGGAAUUGAUUCAUGCUGACAUUCUCCGGGGCCAGUGCACAGUAUCUGGUUUUAAUAGUUACUGAAUUAAAAUCUAUUUCCAGUAAGGAAGAAGCAAGAGGCAAUAAAGAGAAUGUUUUUCUUCUGAUGAUAAAUAAAACUGCAAACUAUAUUUUGUGUACUUAAGUUGAUUGAAAAUUUUGUAGGGAUAUCCAGUUCAACAGAGUUUACCCUGACAUUUGGAAAAAAACUGUGCUCUUAGUGCAGAAAGUAACACAAGACUCCAUUCUUUAAGAAUACUGCUAUUUUGCCAGAUGCAGUGGCUCACGCCUGUAAUCCCAGCACUUUGGGAGGCUGAGGUAGGCGGAUC